ACGUGGGGGCACCCUGACCGCAAUGCCGCGUGAGUGAAGAAGGCCUUCGGGUCGUAAAGCUCUUUUGUCAGGGAAGAAACAGCAGCUCUAACACAGUCUGCGAAUGACGGUACCUGAAGAAUAAGCACCGGCUAACUACGUGCCAGCAGCCGCGGUAAUACGUAGGGUGCGAGCGUUAAUCGGAAUUACUGGGCGUAAAGCGUGCGCGGGCGGUUAUACAAGACAGGCGUGAAAUCCCCGGGCUUAACCUGGGAAUGGCGCCUGUGACUGUAUAGCUAGAGUGUGCCAGAGGGGGGUAGAAUUCCACGUGUAGCAGUGAAAUGCGUAGAUAUGUGGAGGAAUACCAAUGGCGAAGGCAGCCCCCUGGGAUAACACUGACGCUCAUGCACGAAA
RNAcentral lists this ribosomal RNA (393 nucleotides) under uncultured bacterium. Its description in RNAcentral is "bacterial SSU rRNA". It matches the Rfam family "Bacterial small subunit ribosomal RNA", at positions 369 to 758 of the family's 1533-position model. The record is from RNAcentral.